RNAcentral lists this ribosomal RNA (435 nucleotides) under Spurilla sargassicola. Its description in RNAcentral is "partial 16S ribosomal RNA". It matches the Rfam family "Bacterial large subunit ribosomal RNA", at positions 1829 to 2597 of the family's 2925-position model. Lineage: Eukaryota; Metazoa; Mollusca; Gastropoda; Nudibranchia; Aeolidiidae. The record is from RNAcentral.
AGCCAUUAGAUGAUACUAUAUGGUUUUACCUGCCCAAUGUUACGAUGAAUGGCCGCGGUACCCUGACCGUGCUAAGGUAGCGUAAUCAGUUGACCUUUAAAUGAGGUCAGGAAUGAAUGGAAUAACCGGGUUUAGCUGUCUCCAAAUCAUUAUAUUGAAUUUACUAUCUAAGUGAAAAAGCUUAGGACUUAAAAAAGGAGGAGAAGACCCUUAGAAUUUUUUUAAAAAGGAUUUUAAUUUCCUUACAGUUUUAUUGGGGCGAUAAAGAAAUAAUUAAAACUUUCUUUUUUAACAAGCCGAUUGUAUUAAGUAAGAAUAAAUUACCUGAGGGAUAACAGCAUAAUUCUAUAAUUGAGUUUGUGACCUCGAUGUUGGACUAGGAAACCAGUAGGCUAGCCGUUUACUGUGUUAGGUUCUGUUCGAACUUUUAUUCCU